RNAcentral lists this long non-coding RNA (275 nucleotides) under Homo sapiens (human). RNAcentral's name for it is "HSALNT0318430". The record is from RNAcentral. Lineage: Eukaryota; Metazoa; Chordata; Mammalia; Primates; Hominidae.
GUUUGGACACAGACACUCAGAAGAGCACCAUGAAAAAGCACAGAGGCACAGACACAUAGAGAAGACAGCCAUGUGAUGACGAAGGCAGAGAUUGGGGUGAUGCUUCUAGAAGACAAAGAAUGUCAAGGAUUGCUGGGCAACCACCAGAGGCCAGAAAGAGCAACAGAAAAUGGGCUAAGACAUGGAGCAAGGGGCAGAACGACUCUUGAAGAUGCUGAGCAACUUCUGCUUAUAAAGUUGAUUCACUGACUGCUGGUUUGAAAUGGUGUCUGCUA